Cavia porcellus (domestic guinea pig) is the source of this 1963-nucleotide long non-coding RNA. RefSeq lists it as uncharacterized. The record is from RefSeq and is a predicted model, not a curated record. NCBI's taxonomy places the organism in Eukaryota, Metazoa, Chordata, Mammalia, Rodentia, Caviidae. The transcript is spliced from 4 exons.
UCUAGUUUCUGCUGUAAACAGCUAUCCUCUUUGCUAUUUAGUAUGACUCGCAAGAUUGCACCUGCUGUAAAAGAUGCUGUAAGAAGCGCUCUGUCACUGUAUCCACAAAGUCUGCCUUUUCCUCCUGGGAACUCCGCAGGAGGUUCCAGCUCAAGGCAGUCAGAGCCUCCUGCUACAGAACAGCAGCCAAGCAGUGGUCAGAGAGCAACGGCUGACAGCUCUGCAAGAUUUCUUUCUGGAUGUGAGUUAAAAGAUACAGGUAUUCUCUGAUUGGUGGAUCUCUGGAAAUAAACACAACUUGUGUUAUGGAUAUGUCCUGCUGUAUGAAAGCGUCUUCUAAAAAGCCAGGCACAAAGAAUUUUCAGACAAAAUGAUAUGGCGAGGAACUAUCAAAACACAGUGCCUCACUGAAUAUUGUCAGCUUCAAUCUGAUUUCUCAAACACCUAGUUUCUUACUUGCAUCACAGGGAUGCUGAAGGAAGAAGCCAAAAUUUUGACACAAAGUGUUUCUCCUGGAGAAAAAGAAGAUGACUCUGUUUGCUGUAACAUCAAUUGCUGGAAGAAGACUGUGAGCAAAGAUUGCAAUUUAGAUCAUUUUAGAUCACAGUGGCUAAUGUCUUCUGUUUACUUAUUCUUUCUUUUCAUAACUGACGAUGGGGAAAGCACUGGCUGUUCAGAUGCAUAGGAAUAUCCUUGAUCUUUCCAACACUGGUCACGCUUCUCAGGUAAUGAUCCAAGUAUGUGCUCGGAUUGCUACCUACCAAAUUUGUGCACACAGUGAUUGUAUAAAGCCAUAUUCAGAAGGGAGUUGAUACUUUAGCAGGCAGCAGUUCUUAGACACAGAGGCCAACAUUUUAAUUGAUAAUGAGCAGACAGAGAAGGGAAAUAGGAGGCUUGAGAUGCAGCAGAAGAAUUGGGAUAAUUUACUCAAUUUGUUUUCCUGGAAACCAAGAUUUUAUGUCAAGAAUUUGUAAUAAAACUAACUGAUGCACUCACACUCGUCUCCAUAAAAUGCUUAAUCACAUUGUUCUAUAACAGCUUUUCUGUUUAUGAGGAAAUUUACCAGCUUUUUAAUCUCCUUUAUUUGAUUAACAUUAAAAUCAACAACUGCAAUUUGUGUGGGGUUCUGGUAACCAUCAUAUAGUAUUUGCAAACUUAUUAAGGGAGAUAGAUAUUUUUUAAGAUCUCAACCAAAACAGUAUCAAGAUUUAAGUACAAGAUAAUAUUUUUAAAGUUUUUCAUUAAAAAAUUAAAAGUAAUAAUUUAUAGGAAAUGUAAACACCACAAUAGUCAUCAUUGAUCCAUAAUAAAUUUAUAAUGACAAAUACAUUAUUAGAGCUUUUCUCUGAGUUUUUAAUGGUUUUUUCCCUCUUACAACAGUUGAUUUUUCUUUGUGAAUAAUAAGUAUCCUAAUGAUGUUUUGUUUCAAAUGACAGUAGUUUGAAUCUAUGUAUAAGAAGAAAUCAGCACUCCUGUAUAUGUAGAAGCUCUUUAGAUUCUAUCAAAAGUUCUAAAGGAGGAUCCUAGUCAUAGGUAGUUAGGCAGUGACAGUUCUGAAAAUAUUUGAUGGCUCUGAAUUUAAUUGAGUGCUUGGGACACUGAAUCCUAACCAGCCUUGGCCCCACUGACUUUCUCCCUCUGAAUGCCAUCUCCACUCAUCUACUUUAAAAAAAACCUGAUUCCUCCUAAAACCUUAUUUUUUCCUGCUUUUAUGUACAGGGACUUUCUACACAUAAAUGUGUUAUCAUGCAAGUUUGCUUCAAAAUAAGGAAGGGGCGAAAUAAGGGCACAUUUGGUAAGGGUUUUUUCAGGAUAGUCUUAUUCUGAAAUUAUAUUCUUCCUUUUAUUUUCUUCCUAUUGUUCUACAGUUAAACUAUCCUUGUUCUUACAAAAUAGUGACAUAAUUUUGCUUUGCUUUGUACUAUGUAUGUUCUUAAUUCAAAAAAUAAAUGUUUUCCACCCA